Long non-coding RNA from Capsella rubella, 1013 nucleotides. RefSeq lists it as uncharacterized. Lineage: Eukaryota; Viridiplantae; Streptophyta; Magnoliopsida; Brassicales; Brassicaceae. The transcript has 3 exons. The record is from RefSeq and is a predicted model, not a curated record.
CAAAGAAAAAAUCCCCAAUUCGAUUUUGGUCUGUCUCGAAAGAACCCUAGAUUGAGCUGAAGGAAAAACGAGUGAGAGAUUUUGAGAGAUUGAAUCGAUGAACGAUUGAGAGAUCUUCUUCUCCGUCUCGUCUAACCGUGUUCUCGUCUCUCCGUCUUCUCCGUGUUGUGGAUCUCGUUCUUCUCGUCCGAAGCGUCUCAUCCCUGCUGUUUCUCCAUCCCAAAAUCGUUGAGAGUCAGGUGCCAAAAUCCCGUAGAGAACUGGUUAUGUCUUUGUUGUAAAGAGGUUCUAUGCAGCCGUUUCGUGAACAAGGAUAUGCUUAUGCAUCACCAACAGACUCUGCAGAAGAACAUAUUAGACUUGCAAACAAAGAAAUCAUUGGCUCAGGCUUGAAAGAGCAAACUGGUGUCAAGGACUGCUCUGGGGAUUUUUCAGCACCCAAUGCAUCAAUCCUCAACAUUGGGGAUUCAGGUUCAGUUCCACCUGAAGACAUGCUACACUUAAAAGGGAAGUAUUGCUGAGAAAUCUUCUGAUAAGAAAGACUCUGCAGAAGUGCAUAUCUUACCUGCAAAUAAAGAUAUCACUGGUUUAGGCUCAAAAGAGCAAACUGGUCUCAAGGACUUAAUAUUAGCAUCAACCCCAGCAAAGAUUCUUGAAAGCUAAAUUCUUUGUGAUUAAGUCAUAUAGCGAAGAUGAUGUUCAUAACAGUAUAAAGUAUGGUGCAUGGUCGGCACACCAACUGGCAACAAGAAUUUGAAUGCUGCAUAUUAUGAAGCCAAAGAGAACUCUAAAGAAUGUCCUGUGAAUGCUCCUACAAAAGGUUGAGGCACCUCAUAAAACAUAUAUUUCCAUUACACACAUGUUGAGUUCAUAUUCCAAACCCAAUACCCAAAAGAACCAAUGCACAGAGCAAAUAACUAGCUACUAUCUUUGAACUGCAACUUUUUAUGUUUUUCAUUUUCACUUCAUUGUUUUUUUUGUUAUUAAUAAUUUUGAACUGUAUUAUCUUUUUA